This 253-nucleotide ribosomal RNA is filed under the name uncultured bacterium. RNAcentral's name for it is "partial 16S ribosomal RNA". It matches the Rfam family "Bacterial small subunit ribosomal RNA", at positions 524 to 776 of the family's 1533-position model. The record is from RNAcentral.
UACGUAGGGGGCAAGCGUUGUCCGGAUUUAUUGGGCGUAAAGAGCGUGUAGGCGGCCAGAUAGGUCAGCUGUGAAAACUCGAGGCUCAACCUCGAGAUGUCGGCUGAAACCAUCUGGCUAGAGUCCGGAAGAGGAGUGUGGAAUUCCUGGUGUAGCGGUGAAAUGCGCAGAUAUCAGGAAGAACACCUAUGGCGAAGGCAGCACUCUGGGACGGUACUGACGCUGAGACGCGAAAGCGUGGGGAGCGAACAGG